This is a small nuclear RNA of Amazona aestiva (blue-fronted amazon), 165 nucleotides long. It matches the Rfam family "U1 spliceosomal RNA". Rfam says of the family: U1 is a small nuclear RNA (snRNA) component of the spliceosome (involved in pre-mRNA splicing). NCBI's taxonomy places the organism in Eukaryota, Metazoa, Chordata, Aves, Psittaciformes, Psittacidae. The record is from Rfam.
AAACUUACCUGGCAGGGAAGACACCAUGAUCAAGCAGGUGGAUUUCCCAGGGCUAGGCUCAUCCCUUGCACUCUGGGUGUGCUGACCCCUGCGAUUUCCCCAAAUGCAGGAAACUUGACUGCAUAAUUUGUGGUAGUGGGAUUUUUUUUUUCUUUUUCAAUUUUG